RNAcentral lists this ribosomal RNA (733 nucleotides) under uncultured eukaryote. RNAcentral describes it as "SSU rRNA". It matches the Rfam family "Eukaryotic small subunit ribosomal RNA", at positions 477 to 1214 of the family's 1831-position model. The record is from RNAcentral.
AUAACAAUACAGGGCUACAUCUAGUCUUGUAAUUGGAAUGAGUACAAUUUACAUCUCUUCACGAGGAUCAAUUGGAGGGCAAGUCUGGUGCCAGCAGCCGCGGUAAUUCCAGCUCCAAUAGCGUAUAUUAAAGUUGUUGCAGUUAGAACGCUCGUAGUCGGAUUUCGGGGCGGGUCGACCGGUCUGCCGAUGGGUACGCACUGGUUAACGCGUCCUUCCUUCCGGAGACCGUGCCUACUCUUAACUGAGCGGGGGCGGGAGACGGAACGUUUACUUUGAAAAAAUCAGAGUGUUUCAAGCAGGCAGCUCGCUCUUGCAUGGAUUAGCAUGGGAUAAUGAAAUAGGACUUUGGUGCUAUUUUGUUGGUUUCGAACACCGAAGUAAUGAUGAGAAGGGACAGUCAGGGGCACUCGUAUUCCGCCGAGAGAGGUGAAAUUCUCAGACCAGCGGAAGACGAACCACUGCGAAAGCAUUUGCCAGGGAUGUUUUCACUGAUCAAGAACGAAAGUUAGGGGAUCGAAGACGAUCAGAUACCGUCGUAGUCUUAACCAUAAACCAUGCCGACUAGGGAUUGGAGGAUGUUCACUGAUUGACUCCUUCAGCACCUUACGGGAAACUAAAGUCUUUGGGUUCCGGGGGGAGUAUGGUCGCAAGGCUGAAACUUAAAGGAAUUGACGGAAGGGCACCACCAGGAGUGGAGCCUGCGGCUUAAUUUGACUCAACACGCAAUUUG